This is a non-coding RNA of Castor canadensis (American beaver), 1984 nucleotides long. The record is from RefSeq and is a predicted model, not a curated record. NCBI's taxonomy places the organism in Eukaryota, Metazoa, Chordata, Mammalia, Rodentia, Castoridae.
ACCAGUCUGAUCUGGGGUGCCUGGGUUGGGCUAUUCCUUCUUGUGAAUCCAGCCUGUGGUUCCUGUUUGGAUCAAGGGUCUGUAGUGAGAGGAAAAAAGGAGGAAGACAGAGAGCCUUGAAAGCAGGAGCUCUGUUUUGCAGAUUGGGACACUGAGGCACACAGAUCCUAAGUAGCUAAGCUGGGAUUCAAACCUAGUCAGUUUGGUUCCAGAAGGAUCCACUCUGGGACCUUGUCUCCGGGAGCACGUGAGCAGAAAUGGUGACAAGGAGGAGUGCACCAGAAGAUAAAGGAGAAGGAAAAGUGCUAACAGGUCCUGGCCUUCAGACUGCAAUUUCUUUUUCAGCUGGGUCUGAUCUCCAGAACUUUCCUUCUCCAGAUGAUGGAGUCAGGCUCUUCCUAAGCUGCCCGGGAAGCAGCAUGGAUUGUUUCUUGAGGGAUGGAAGACUUGAGUUCUGAAACUUGAGGAGAAACUCUCACCCAUGAAUGGAAGUGACCAGUGUAUAAUGGACUCAGAGGAAACAGUGCCCACUGUGAAGGCCAUAUAGCCACUUGAGAGUAAGGACCCAGAUUCCCUCUUUUGUCACCUACUCACUGCUCGUUCACUUGCUCAGACAUUCUGCAAGUGUCUGUUGAACUUCUAGACCUUGUUAAGCAAUUGUGCUAGGUAGGAGCAGAGCAAAAGAGAGCGACAGUGGCCUUAAGAAACUCACAGACAAGAUGGAGAGGCAGAUAGAAACAAGCCCUGUAAUUACAGUACACAGUGAGAAACGCCAUCCAAGGGCCAAGGACAGGGUGCUGUGGGGUGGGCAGAGGGUCACGUUAGUAUCAGGACUGUACUCACAUUCACUCCCAUGGCCAGUUAAUUCACCCCCACUGUUCCAUCUGUUUCUUUGUUUUUGAAGUUUUUAUUUCUGGCUUUGCUUUCUUAAUAGCCUUUGGAAAAAUUCCACCCUUGUUUCAGUUGGACUGGGGAAAAAGGGAAUUGUCCACUCUUCAGCCAGAAUAGCCAAGGGGUGCUGGCUUCCGGCAGAGUCCAGGUGGACAAGUGGACGAGGCAGGGUACUUGGUAGGAGGGAGGCCAGGGAAGAGCCUGUGGCCUGGGGCAGGGAAAGGUAAAAACAUAAGCUUGGCUGAGUAGGCUGGGAUGGCCGUAUGAAUUCCCCUUUCCCAGAGCCCUCUACAGGUCCCCUACCCUGUGUUCUGAUUGGAGGAGAGAGUUGAGAACCUCUCCUUCCAUAUCAGUGAAUCCUGUAAAGCUGAGUUCUAUUGCUCUUUCCCCACCCAGAGAGCCUUGAAAGGCAGUGAGUCUUCAACAUUAUUCACAGCAGAGGGCUGGGUGUGUGUACACGGGUGCCCAUAGUCCCUCUCUCUCCCUCAAAACCACCACACAUACCUCAUUCCUCUUGUCUGGGCUUCUGGCACUGAAUUUAUUCAUUCAACAAAUAUUUAUUGAAAACCCACUAUGUACUAGAAACUAGAACUUUAUUAACAGAAAAAGAACUAUUUCAGAAGGUUGCAUAGGUACCAAAAGUGUGUAUAUAUGUGUGUGUGUACGCAUAUAUAAAUAAAUGUGCAUAGAUUAGAGAAGCAGGGGAAGACUUAAGUCUGGGUGCCACCAUGUGCUAGCUAUGUGACCUAGGGUAAAUUACAUAAAGUCUCUGUGCCUCUGUUUUCCAUCUGUAAAAUGGUCAUAAGCAGAGUUCUUACCUCUGGGGGCUGUGGUGAAGACUGAAUGAGUGGAUGUGCAAAAUGUGUAUGCCGUGCCCAGCACAAAACAGGCUUUCAGCGAGUAUUAGCAGUCACUGCUUCCUUCUCACUCACUCACUCACUCACUCAGAGUUGGGUGCAGACAACGUGUAAAUGACUAGUUUUCCAAAUCUGGCUCUUGCUCAACCUGGUGACUCAGAGGCAGUCACCUGGUCCUAACUACCUCUGUCCCCUGCAGCUCAUCUACAACACAGAGCUUGGUCUACACAACUACU